This 726-nucleotide ribosomal RNA is filed under the name Triticum aestivum (bread wheat). RNAcentral describes it as "partial small subunit ribosomal RNA". The record is from RNAcentral. Lineage: Eukaryota; Viridiplantae; Streptophyta; Magnoliopsida; Poales; Poaceae.
AUGGGAAACCCUGUUGAUGCACCUAAACCCUAUCAAUGGAUAUGGAAAUCAUGCUCUUUACCAAAGCAGAAAUUCUUCUUCUGGCUCUUGUUACAAGACAGAUUAAACACUAGAGAUCUACUAAAAAGGAAGAAUUUCUACAUUGAGACUAGUAAGUGUGAGUUAUGUGAUGAUGAACCUAAUACAUUUAAUCAUCUGUUUUUUAGCUGUGAUUUCAGUCAAAACUUCUGGAUGAACAUUGGCUACCAAUGGAAUACUGAUCAUAACCUCAUAGAAAUGCUCCUGGAGGGAAGGAAGCAAGAUACACAUGGAUGCUUUAAAGAAUGUCUGAUUGCUGGAUGCUGGAGUCUAUGGAAACACAGAAAUAGCAUAAUUUUUGACAACAAGGUCAAAAAUAUGACAUUCUGUAUUGCCACUUUCAAGGAGCACUUUUGCAUGAUUAUAAAGAAGGCAAAACCAAGAUUGAAAGAGGGCAUGCAAAGCUGGCUAGAUCAUUUGUUGACUCAUCAAUGUCAUGAAUUAUAUCCAUCAUGUAAAUCCAUAUGUAACUGUCCCCCUAUUUUAAUGAAAAAGAGAAUCACAGUGGGGAUUUCCCCCACUGUUUUUGUCAAAAAAACUAGUUUAUUUAGUAAGUGGUUAAUAAAACUAGUUUAUUUAGUGUUAGGAUUAUAUAUAAGAUAUUUUGAAAUGUUUUUGUUCAUAUUUUCAACCAUUGAAAUGCAAUGA